RNAcentral lists this ribosomal RNA (425 nucleotides) under uncultured bacterium. RNAcentral's name for it is "partial 16S ribosomal RNA". It matches the Rfam family "Bacterial small subunit ribosomal RNA", at positions 354 to 796 of the family's 1533-position model. The record is from RNAcentral.
GUGGGGAAUCUUAGACAAUGGGCGCAAGCCUGAUCUAGCCAUGCCGCGUGAGUGAUGAAGGCCUUAGGGUUGUAAAGCUCUUUCAGUAGGGAAGAUAAUGACGGUACCUACAGAAGAAGCCCCGGCUAACUUCGUGCCAGCAGCCGCGGUAAUACGAAGGGGGCUAGCGUUGUUCGGAUUUACUGGGCGUAAAGCGCACGUAGGCGGAUUGGUCAGUUAGAGGUGAAAUCCCGAAGCUCAACUUCGGAACUGCCUUUAAUACUGCCAGUCUCGAGUCCGGAAGAGGUGAGUGGAACUCCUAGUGUAGAGGUGGAAUUCGUAGAUAUUAGGAAGAACACCAGUGGCGAAGGCGGCUCACUGGUCCGGUACUGACGCUGAGGUGCGAAAGCGUGGGGAGCAAACAGGACUAGAAACCCUUGUAGUCC